CCUACGGGUGGCAGCAGUCGAGAAUCAUUCACAAUGGGGGAAACCCUGAUGGUGCGACGCCGCGUGGGGGAAUGAAGGUCUUCGGAUUGUAAACCCCUGUCAUGUGGGAGCAAAUUAAAAAGAUAGUACCACAAGAGGAAGAGACGGCUAACUCUGUGCCAGCAGCCGCGGUAAUACAGAGGUCUCAAGCGUUGUUCGGAAUCACUGGGCGUAAAGCGUGCGUAGGAUGUUUCGUAAGUCGGGUGUGAAAGGCCGGGGCUCAACCCGCGGACGGCACAUGAUACUGCGAGACUAGAGUGAUGGAGGGGGAACCGGAAUUCUCGGUGUAGCAGUGAAAUGCGUAGAUAUCGAGAGGAACACUCGUGGCGAAGGCGGGUUCCUGGACAUUAACUGACGCUGAGGCACGAAGGUCAGGGGAGCGAAAGGGAUUAGAUACCCGAGUAGUC
This 446-nucleotide ribosomal RNA is filed under the name uncultured bacterium. Its description in RNAcentral is "partial 16S ribosomal RNA". It matches the Rfam family "Bacterial small subunit ribosomal RNA", at positions 338 to 795 of the family's 1533-position model. The record is from RNAcentral.